GACGAACGCUGGCGGCGUGCUUAACACAUGCAAGUCGAACGGAAAGGCCCUGCUUUUGUGGGUUGCUCGAGUGGCGAACGGGUGAGUAACACGUGAGUAACCUGCCCUUGACUUUGGGAUAACUUCAGGAAACUGGGGCUAAUACCGGAUAGGAGCUCCUGCUGCAUGGUGGGGGUUGGAAAGUUUCGGCGGUUGGGGAUGGACUCGCGGCUUAUCAGCUUGUUGGUGGGGUAGUGGCUUACCAAGGCUUUGACGGGUAGCCGGCCUGAGAGGGUGACCGGCCACAUUGGGACUGAGAUACGGCCCAGACUCGUACGGGAGGCAGCAGUGGGGAAUAUUGCACAAUGGGCGGAAGCCUGAUGCAGCAACGCCGCGUGCGGGAUGACGGCCUUCGGGUUGUAAACCGCUUUCGCCUGUGACGAAGCGUGAGUGACGGUAAUGGGUAAAGAAGCACCGGCUAACUACGUG
RNAcentral lists this ribosomal RNA (468 nucleotides) under uncultured bacterium. RNAcentral describes it as "partial 16S ribosomal RNA". It matches the Rfam family "Bacterial small subunit ribosomal RNA", at positions 28 to 507 of the family's 1533-position model. The record is from RNAcentral.